CCACAAAAGACCAAAAUGACACAAACAUUAACAACUAUAUAUCACCGUACGGCCUUCAACAAUGAGCAAAGCCCAUACCGCAUAGUCAGCUAUAAAAUGCCCCGAUAAGACAAUGUAAAUCAAUUCAAACGAGAAAACUAACGGCCUUAUUUAAGUAAAAAAAUGAACAAAAAACAAAUAUGUAGCACAUAAACAAAUGACAACCACUGAAUUACAGGCUCCUGACUUGGGACAGGCACAUACAUAAAUAAUGUGGCGGGGUUAAACAUGUUAGCGGGAUUCCAACCCUUCCCUAACCUGGGACAGUGGUAUAACAGUACAACAUAAGAACGAACUAUAAAAAUCAGUUGAAAAAGGCUUAACUAAU
This 367-nucleotide long non-coding RNA is filed under the name Mytilus galloprovincialis (Mediterranean mussel). The record is from RNAcentral. Lineage: Eukaryota; Metazoa; Mollusca; Bivalvia; Mytilida; Mytilidae.